This 492-nucleotide ribosomal RNA is filed under the name uncultured bacterium. Its description in RNAcentral is "partial 16S ribosomal RNA". It matches the Rfam family "Bacterial small subunit ribosomal RNA", at positions 29 to 507 of the family's 1533-position model. The record is from RNAcentral.
AGUGGACGCUGGCGGUAGGCCUAACACAUGCAAGUCGAACGGCAGCACAGUAAGAGCUUGCUCUUACGGGUGGCGAGUGGCGGACGGGUGAGGAAUACAUCGGAAUCUACUUUUUCGUGGGGGAUAACGUAGGGAAACUUACGCUAAUACCGCAUACGACCUACGGGUGAAAGCAGGGGAUCUUCGGACCUUGCGCGAUUGAAUGAGCCGAUGUCGGAUUAGCUAGUUGGCGGGGUAAAGGCCCACCAAGGCGACGAUCCGUAGCUGGUCUGAGAGGAUGAUCAGCCACACUGGAACUGAGACACGGUCCAGACUCCUACGGGAGGCAGCAGUGGGGAAUAUUGGACAAUGGGCGCAAGCCUGAUCCAGCCAUACCGCGUGGGUGAAGAAGGCCUUCGGGUUGUAAUGCCCUUUUGUUGGGAAAGAAAAGCAGCAGGUUAAUACCCCGCUGUUCUGACGGUACCCAAAGAAUAAGCACCGGCUAACUUCGUG